GAUGAACGCUGGCGGCGUGCCUAAUACAUGCAAGUCGAGCGAACGGACGAGAAGCUUGCUUCUCUGAUGUUAGCGGCGGACGGGUGAGUAACACGUGGAUAACCUACCUAUAAGACUGGGAUAACUUCGGGAAACCGGAGCUAAUACCGGAUGAUAUUUUGAACCGCAUGGUUCAAAAGUGAAAGACGGUCUUGCUGUCGCUUAUAGAUGGAUCCGCGCUGCAUUAGCUAGUUGGUAAGGUAACGGCUUACCAAGGCAACGAUGCAUAGCCGACCUGAGAGGGUGAUCGGCCACACUGGAACUGAGACACGGUCCAGACUCCUACGGGAGGCAGCAGUAGGGAAUCUUCCGCAAAGGGCGAAAGCCUGACGGAGCAACGCCGCGUGAGUGAUGAAGGUCUUCGGAUCGUAAAACUCUGUUAUUAGGGAAGAACAUAUGUGUAAGUAACUGUGCACAUCUUGACGGUACCUAAUCAGAAAGCCACGGCUAACUACGUG
Molecule: ribosomal RNA, 497 nt
Filed under: uncultured bacterium
Lineage: Bacteria
Description: partial 16S ribosomal RNA
Rfam family: Bacterial small subunit ribosomal RNA
Source: RNAcentral